RNAcentral lists this long non-coding RNA (244 nucleotides) under Carica papaya (papaya). RNAcentral's name for it is "long non-coding RNA (CPAP_LNC015637)". Lineage: Eukaryota; Viridiplantae; Streptophyta; Magnoliopsida; Brassicales; Caricaceae. The record is from RNAcentral.
UUGUGUCCUAAAUUCUGAUUCCAGUUCCCAAGUCGCCUCCCUAGGCGUGUGGUUCUGCCACAUGACUUUUACAAAUGAUAUUUCCCGGUUGCGGAGUAUUCUACUUUCUCGGUCCGUGAUACUGACCGGUACUUCUUCAUAAGACAAGUCCUCUCGGAGUGAAAGCGGUUCAUGAGCCACGACAUGAGAAGGGUCCGGAUUGUACUUGCGUAGCAUAGAUACAUGAAACACAUUAUGAACCCGG